Molecule: long non-coding RNA, 891 nt
Organism: Solea solea (common sole)
Lineage: Eukaryota; Metazoa; Chordata; Actinopteri; Pleuronectiformes; Soleidae
Exons: 3
Source: RefSeq, a predicted model, not a curated record
CCAGAUUUUGGCUAAAGGUCCUCGCUCGGACGUGAAGAGUUGCAUGUCGAACAACAUAUCGGACAGAGAUAGUAGCUGUCACCUGUGACAAACACAACACUGACAUUAUAGAGUAGUAGGGUGUCGGUGGUUACAUAUUUAUUUAUUUAUUUUACUCUUGAGUUCUACUCGAAGUUUUCAAACGUCUGUUGGAAAAAGUCGGUUAGCUCAGUGUUUGCUAGCUGCCAGUUUUUCUUUCCUUUCUUUUAAAGAUAGCAUUAACGGUAAACAACAUGGCGGCGGCGGCGCCACGUCUUUCAGUUUAGCUCACAGGUUUAGUAGAAACACACGUUUAGUUUAAUUAACUUAACUUUUAUGUGAAACAUUUGAGGAGGUAACUAGGAAACAGGACAAUUCAUCCUACCUUUACUUUAAAAGUACCGCGUUUUGACACGACAGGCGGCGCGUGGACAUCAGCGCGAGGAACAACAUGGAGAUUCGCAGGACGGCGUAGAUGUGAACCUGCAGAACAUGACUGUGGACUGACUCAGCUAAGAGAAUUCUCUCAUGGUGCCUGAGCCUGUGGUCUCCUGUCAUGCCUGUGGGAAGGUCGGCAUGCGCAACAAAUGCAAAAUAUAUAAAUAAAUACAAUCCUGCCACCCUCAUGCCAUCUUCACUCCACCAUGACUGCUUCUACUCUUCAUGACACAAACAUAUUACGUAAUCACAGUGUGAUUGAAUAUGGUAAAGCAAAUGUUUCUCUGUGUUAGUGGUGGUUACAUCAUGUCUUUUUGUUUUUUUCCUCGUACAGUUGCUUCCUUUAAUUGCCUUUGAAGCUAAUCUUAACGUGAAGGUCAUUCACUCUGUUAACUGGUUUACUAUCCAACAUAGAACCAUUAUAAUUGGUUAGAC